UGACAAUGCGGCUGUUGGUCACGGAUGCCGGGGGCGUGAGCGGGGUUGAGGAGCUCACGUGGUGCUAUACAUGACGACCUGCGAGUGGUGGCAGGAGGUGGCAUGCCUGCUGCUUGGCUGGAAGUCCGACAUGAACUCCCACGACCGACUGUAAGCAUGGUUGUGAAGACCUUCCAGCAUUACCCCAGGAAGCUAACACAUCAGCUUGUGCCAUACGUGGUGUUUUCUUGUUGAUGAAUGUUGGUCUAGGUAAUCUCCUUGAUGAACCAUGUGACAAUUAAUAAAGUUAAUAAAGGACAGCAUACUCUUUUUGUC
Long non-coding RNA from Triticum dicoccoides, 315 nucleotides. RefSeq lists it as uncharacterized. Lineage: Eukaryota; Viridiplantae; Streptophyta; Magnoliopsida; Poales; Poaceae. The record is from RefSeq and is a predicted model, not a curated record. The transcript has 2 exons.